UACGGAGGGGGCUAGCGUUGUUCGGAAUUACUGGGCGUAAAGCGCGCGUAGGCGGCUUUGUAAGUUAGAGGUGAAAGCCCGAAGCUCAACUCCGGAAUUGCCUUUAAGACUGCAUCGCUAGAAUUGUGGAGAGGUAAGUGGAAUUCCGAGUGUAGAGGUGAAAUUCGUAGAUAUUCGGAAGAACACCAGUGGCGAAGGCGACUUACUGGACACAUAUUGACGCUGAGGUGCGAAAGCGUGGGGAGCAAACAGGAUUAGAAACCCGGGUAGUCC
This 273-nucleotide ribosomal RNA is filed under the name uncultured bacterium. RNAcentral's name for it is "partial 16S ribosomal RNA". It matches the Rfam family "Bacterial small subunit ribosomal RNA", at positions 524 to 796 of the family's 1533-position model. The record is from RNAcentral.